CCCUUGUCCUGUGUUGCCAUCAUUCAGUUGGGAACUCGCAGGAGACCGCCAGGGAUAACCUGGAGGAAGGUGGGGAUGACGUCAAGUCCUCAUGGCCUUUAUGUCCAGGGCUACACACGUGCUACAAUGGACGGUACAAAGCGCAGCAAACCCGCGAGGGGGAGCCAAUCGCAAAAAACCGUUCUCAGUUCGGAUUGCAGGCUGCAGAGAGGACUGCAUGAAGCUGGAAUCGCUAGUAAUGGCAGAUCAGCACGCUGCCGUGAAUACGUUCCCGGG
RNAcentral lists this ribosomal RNA (276 nucleotides) under uncultured Acidobacteriota bacterium. RNAcentral describes it as "uncultured Acidobacteria bacterium partial 16S ribosomal RNA". It matches the Rfam family "Bacterial small subunit ribosomal RNA", at positions 1102 to 1378 of the family's 1533-position model. The record is from RNAcentral. Lineage: Bacteria; Pseudomonadati; Acidobacteriota.